GAUGAACGCUAGCGGCAGGCUUAAUACAUGCAAGUCGUGGGGCAGCAUGAGUAGCAAUACUUGAUGGCGACCGGCAAACGGGUGAGGAACACGUACACAACCUUCCUUCAAGCGGGGAAUAGCCCAGAGAAAUUUGGAUUAAUACCCCAUAAUAUAUUUGAUAAGGCAUCUUAUUAAUAUUAAAGCUUCGGCACUCGAUGAUGGGUGUGCGGCUGAUUAGAUAGUUGGCGGGUAACGGCCCACCAAGUCUACGAUCAGUAGCUGAUGUGAGAGCAUGAUCAGCCACACGGGCACUGAGACACGGGCCCGACUCCUACGGGAGGCAGCAGUAAGGAAUAUUGGACAAUGGACGAAAGUCUGAUCCAGCCAUGCCGCGUGAAGGAUUAAGGUCCUCUGGAUUGUAAACUUCUUUAUAUGGGACGAAAAAGGGCAUUCUUGUUCACUUGACGGUACCAUAUGAAUAAGCACCGGCUAACUCCGUGCCAGCA
This 488-nucleotide ribosomal RNA is filed under the name uncultured bacterium. RNAcentral describes it as "bacterial SSU rRNA". It matches the Rfam family "Bacterial small subunit ribosomal RNA", at positions 28 to 513 of the family's 1533-position model. The record is from RNAcentral.